Molecule: ribosomal RNA, 301 nt
Filed under: uncultured bacterium
Lineage: Bacteria
Description: partial 16S ribosomal RNA
Rfam family: Bacterial small subunit ribosomal RNA
Source: RNAcentral
CAGCCGCCACGGUAAUACGGAGGGUGCAAGCGUUAAUCGGAAUUACUGGGCGUAAGGCGUGCGUAGGCGGUUCGUUAAGUCUGUUGUGAAAGCCCCGGGCUCAACCUGGGAAUGGCAAUGGAUACUGGCGAGCUAGAGUGUGUCAGAGGAUGGUGGAAUUCCCGGUGUAGCGGUGAAAUGCGUAGAGAUCGGGAGGAACAUCAGUGGCGAAGGCGGCCAUCUGGGACAACACUGACGCUGAGGCACGAAAGCGUGGGGAGCAAACAGGAUUAGAUACCCGGGUAGUCCCUGUCUCUUAUAC